Molecule: ribosomal RNA, 451 nt
Filed under: uncultured organism
Description: partial 16S ribosomal RNA
Rfam family: Bacterial small subunit ribosomal RNA
Source: RNAcentral
CACUCCUGCGGGAGGCAGCAGUGGGGAAUAUUGGACAAUGGGCGCAAGCCUGAUCCAGCCAUGCCGCGUGAGUGAUGAAGGCCCUAGGGUUGUAAAGCUCUUUCACCGGUGAAGAUAAUGACGGUAACCGGAGAAGAAGCCCCGGCUAACUUCGUGCCAGCAGCCGCGGUAAUACGAAGGGGGCUAGCGUUGUUCGGAUUUACUGGGCGUAAAGCGCACGUAGGCGGACUAUUAAGUCAGGGGUGAAAUCCCGGGGCUCAACCCCGGAACUGCCUUUGAUACUGGUAGUCUUGAGUUCGAGAGAGGUGAGUGGAAUUCCGAGUGUAGAGGUGAAAUUCGUAGAUAUUCGGAGGAACACCAGUGGCGAAGGCGGCUCACUGGCUCGAUACUGACGCUGAGGUGCGAAAGCGUGGGGAGCAAACAGGAUUAGAAACCCUAGUAGUCCCAUGAU